CCUACGGGUGGCUGCAGUCGAGAAUCUUCCACAAUGGACGAAAGUCUGAUGGAGCGACGCCGCGUGGUUGAUGAAGUCCUUCGGGACGUAAAGACCUUUUAUGAGGGAGGCGUUACCUCAUGAAUAAGGGGCUCCUAACUCUGUGCCAGCAGGAGCGGUAAUACAGAGGCCCCAAGCAUUAUCCGGAAUCACUGGGCGUAAAGGAUGUGUAGGCGGUUGGAUUAGUCUUUCGUAAAAGCCUCGGGCCUAACCCGGGAAUGCGGUAGAAACGGUACAACUUCAGGAUGCGAGAGGUAAAGGGAACUCAUGGUGUAGGGGUGAAAUCCGUUGAUAUCAUGGGGAACACCAAAUGCGAAGGCACUUUACUGGCGCAUCUGACGCUGAAACAUGAAAGCGUGGGAAUCGAAAAGGAUUAGAUACCCCUGUAGUC
This 430-nucleotide ribosomal RNA is filed under the name uncultured bacterium. RNAcentral describes it as "partial 16S ribosomal RNA". It matches the Rfam family "Bacterial small subunit ribosomal RNA", at positions 338 to 795 of the family's 1533-position model. The record is from RNAcentral.